This 253-nucleotide ribosomal RNA is filed under the name uncultured bacterium. RNAcentral's name for it is "partial 16S ribosomal RNA". It matches the Rfam family "Bacterial small subunit ribosomal RNA", at positions 524 to 776 of the family's 1533-position model. The record is from RNAcentral.
UACGUAGGGUGCGAGCGUUGUCCGGAAUUAUUGGGCGUAAAGAGCGCGUAGGCGGCCUGUCGCGUCGGAUGUGAAAGCCCGGGGCUUAACCCCGGGUCUGCAUUCGAUACGGGCAGGCUAGAGUUCGGUAGGGGAGAUCGGAAUUCCUGGUGUAGCGGUGAAAUGCGCAGAUAUCAGGAGGAACACCGGUGGCGAAGGCGGAUCUCUGGGCCGAUACUGACGCUGAGGAGCGAAAGCGUGGGGAGCGAACAGG